CUCUUAUCCCGAGAUGGCGGAGGGACAGGCCCGAUGAAGCCCAGCAACCAGCUUUUUAGGUGCAUAUAAUAAAAAUGAAAGCUUAGUAGAUAAGUUGAAGAGUCAUUUUUAUAAGCAUGCUAAAAUGAAAAGGUGCUAACCUGUAGCAAGGUAAUUCCUUGAACGAUAAGAG
Molecule: non-coding RNA, 172 nt
Filed under: Heyndrickxia shackletonii
Lineage: Bacteria; Bacillati; Bacillota; Bacilli; Caryophanales; Bacillaceae
Description: Bacillus shackletonii SAM-I sequence
Rfam family: SAM riboswitch aptamer (S box leader)
About the family: The SAM riboswitch is found upstream of a number of genes which code for proteins involved in methionine or cysteine biosynthesis in Gram-positive bacteria.
Source: Rfam by way of RNAcentral